This is a long non-coding RNA of Pezoporus flaviventris, 536 nucleotides long. RefSeq lists it as uncharacterized. The record is from RefSeq and is a predicted model, not a curated record. Lineage: Eukaryota; Metazoa; Chordata; Aves; Psittaciformes; Psittacidae. The transcript is spliced from 4 exons.
AAAGACUGCCAAUCUCUGACCAGGCUGCAGCCCACACAGGUUAGAUACAGCCCGCCAGAAGCAAACACAUCAUCUGUGACCUGCUUCCCAUUGUCUUUUCCACUAGACUGCAGAUGCAGCCAGUAACUGACCUACAGACCCUGAGUUCAGCCAAGGGCCUUUGGGCAGCAGGAGACAAUGGUGGGCAAGGCAGAUGAGCAUCUGAUUAAGUGAGAUCAGUCCUUCACAUCCAGCAGAUGAAAUAACUCCCUACUUUCUGCACAGAGCAAAGAAACAGAAAACUUCUCAAAAAAUUAUCACCUGUAAAAGAUUUUAUCCUUUUCCAUUGAGGGUUUAUGAUGACAUAUGAAACCAGAGUGGUCUACAUCUGCCUUUCCCUCCUGUGUUUAGAAAGCAGCAGGUAUGGUCAAGUGCAACAGUUGUCUGGGAGUGCAGCAAGGGAAAUGGAUACUAGAGUCACAAAACCAAGCUGGACUAGGACUACAGACAGGAUGGAUGCACACACUCUGUGUCAUCCCUCUGGAGACAGGGGAGGA